UGACACUCCUAGAGAUAGGACGUUCCCCUUCGGGGGACAGAGUGACAGGUGGUGCAUGGUUGUYGUCAGCUCGUGUCGUGAGAUGUUGGGUUAAGUCCCGCAACGAGCGCAACCCUUGUUCUUAGUUGCCAGCAUUCAGUUGGGCACUYUAAGGAGACUGCCGGUGACAAACCGGAGGAAGGUGGGGAUGACGUCAAAUCAUCAUGCCCCUUAUGACCUGGGCUACACACGUGCUACAAUGGAUGGUACAAAGGGCUGCAAGACCGCGAGGUUUAGCCAAUCCCAUAAAACCAUUCUCAGUUCGGAUUGUAGGCUGCAACUYGCCUACAUGAAGCCGGAAUCGCUAGUAAUCGCGGAUCAGCAUGCCGCGGUGAAUACGUUCCCGGGCCUUGUACACACCGCCCGUCACACCACGAGAGUUUGUAACACCCGAAGUGCGG
This 440-nucleotide ribosomal RNA is filed under the name Bacillus sp. B7(2010). Its description in RNAcentral is "bacterial SSU rRNA". It matches the Rfam family "Bacterial small subunit ribosomal RNA", at positions 992 to 1431 of the family's 1533-position model. Lineage: Bacteria; Bacillati; Bacillota; Bacilli; Caryophanales; Bacillaceae. The record is from RNAcentral.